AUUGAACGCUGGCGGCAUGCCUAACACAUGCAAGUCGAGCGGAGCGGCGGACGGGUGAGUAAUGACUAGGAAUCUGUCUGGUAGUGGGGGAUAGCGUAAGGAAAGGGGAGCUAAUAUCGCAUACUACCAGAUGAGACUAGGUCGGAUUAGCUAGUUGGUGGGGUAAAGGCCUACCAGGGCGACGAUCCGUAACAGGUCUGAGAGGAUGAUCAGUCAGCCUGGAACUGGGACACGGUCCAGACUCCUACGGGAGGCAGCAGUGGGGAAUUUUGGACAAUUGGCGAAAGCCUGAUCCUGCCCUGCCGCGUGUGUUAAGAAGGUCUUCGGAUUUUAAAGCCCUUUUAUUUGGGAGGCGUUACCUACAUAAUGAGCGCCGGCUAACUUCGUGCCAGCAGCCGCGGUAAUAC
Molecule: ribosomal RNA, 407 nt
Filed under: uncultured bacterium
Lineage: Bacteria
Description: partial 16S ribosomal RNA
Rfam family: Bacterial small subunit ribosomal RNA
Source: RNAcentral